GCCCCCAAACCUUCCUCCCCCGCACCCGCAACCGCCUCCCCUCCCUCCCUCCUAUCUCUCCUCCCUCCCUCCUCGUCCACGCGCGCUCGCCUCCGGCCACCUCCGCCGCGAGCCCUCCUCUAUCUCCCUCUCCUCCCUCCACUCUUCUCUUCCCCGCCUCCUCCUGCUGUCGCCGCCUCCCAUCCCCUCGGCGACGCGCCGCCUGACCCGCACAGUCCAAGCUUCGACGACGGCGCGCGAUGAUAGAGGAGGAGCGAAGGAGAGGUAUGGUGGGGGAUCUGCUCAUGAGUUGGAGGUGCUCAAGUUGGGGUAGCAGAGGACGGCUCGCCGGCAAGCUCAGCCCUCUCCGCCUGGUCCGGGGACGCCCGUUGGCGAGCUUCGACCACCCACAUCGGGGCAGAGGGAGCCGCGCGCGUGGCCAACAAGUGGACCGACGGGAGAGACGCCGCGCCGCGUGCUCGACGGGGAGGAGAGAUGAAGGGGGCGCGUGUGGGCGGCUGGCCGAAGGGGAACCAUCGCGUCUCUGCCGCAUCUACGAACCGCAGGUUAGUUUUGGCACAGAUCAGGGCAGGCAUGUCUUCAUGGUGCUUGCGGAGGAGUAGGGCCGCUGAGGAAAAGUGGUGGUUGGGGAGGAGGACGCCCUUGUCCUUGCCCUUGUCCUUCCCCUGUGCUGCUCUGUGCAUGGUUGUUGAAGGCGAGGACGACCUGUGACUCCUCGUGGCAAGUUUGUGUUGCACAUUAGGAAGAAGAGACCUGGGCAGCGUGCUUUACAUGGGCGGCGUCACCUCGACCAGAUUAACGAUUCAAGCCCAAGAACACGUGAGAAAUCAUUGAUGCGCAUGACUGACAGCUUUCGCACAAGGGAGAAGUGCAAACGCUGGAGCACAUGGAUGUGUAGCAGGACUAAGUUCUGAUUGGACCAAGGCAAAGGAAGCAUACGACCGGAAAUUUCUCUCAGGUCACAAGGAAGCCGGGGGAGGAGGAGACCUCGUCGCGAGGGAGCUGCGGGAGGAGGAGCUCAACCCAAGAGGAGAGGAUGCCAGCCAGGGAGUCGUCUUGGCUCGACGCGGUCCUUCGCGUCUUGAACCUAACGCCGUAGGCGGCUCGUGCAGUUGCGCAGCAGACGGCGGCCGAAGCUGGUCAUGACCUCGCAUCCUGGGUGCGUGCUCGAUUAGCUCGUGUCUUCACGGCCUUCAGGUGCGCAGGUGAGUCCCCAACCAUCUCUCUCUCUCUCGUUUUGCCUCUGAGGUUGCAAAUGCAAGCACCUGUUUGCAAACGUGAGCACUAGCUGUUUGUAAAAGUGCUGAAGGAGAGCUGCUCAGAGGAGGGCAGUAUGUGUGUUCGAGAGAGAGGGAUGGAAAAGAGGGUGACUGGAAUAAGUGGAGAAGAAAGUUAUUAGUUGAUUCCUAUCAAACAAAAGUAAAUACCAGCCAUGUUACUUUUAGUGUGUUUGUUAGUUCCAUUUGCAUAUAAUUAGAGUAAACUGCACUGAUCCACAUACUUUCUCCAGCUCCCUUGAAAGCUAAUUUAUUUGGCCCCCCAUUUUACUGUCAAUUUGUAGUAUGCUUUCUUAUGCUUGAGUGGUCAAUAGAUUUUAGGUUUGAGCAGCUAAUUGGCAAAUUUAAAAGUACAAGGGACAAGAUAAAUUGUGAUCUUGCAAUGUCUACUCCUCUAUUGAUGUGGCUCUUGAUUUCUGAAGCUCCCAGGAUUUAAUAAGCCGCAGGAGGACGAGCUCAACCCGGACGAGGUCGUUGUGGUCCUAGGUUCAGUCAGGCUCUCUCCCCUCUCUACAUCUCUCUCUCUCUCUCUCUCUCUCUCUCUCUCCUUCUACAUCUCUCCCUCUCUCCAUUAGAGGGCAGCUGCUGACCCCGAGGUGCAACCGGCCAUGGCAAGGCAGGAGAUGUCGAGAGGAAUUUUCCUCCAGGAUAUUGCAGACACCACGUGUCAUUGCCCGUUACAAAUCUGCCUAGGAGUACAUGGGAAAAUGUUUACAUUUAAGCAACCUCAGUUGCGGAUUUUUUAUAUUUGUUCACUCGCUCAAGAGGCCAUUAGUCUGUACCAGCGAUGGAGACAGCUUCCCUUUUCACUACUGUAUUUUUCCCCCAUUUCUAUAUUGUCUCGAAUCAUGCUAUGAGUUUGGAAAAUUGUAUCACUGCAAUGCCUUCUUCGUAUCUGUAGAAUUGGAGAAAAAACCAUACAUGUUAUUGAUGCAUUAGUAAGAAGGCUCGCCGUCUGGGAGAUGGCGAGCGCCAGUGAGCACUGCGCACGGUGUAGCAAGCUGGACAAGAUCACAAGAGCGUGAGCGACAGUCAAGACAUGAGCUAUCCAGUGGUCAAACUGGGCUAUAUUUCUUUCAUUGAGGCGAGGGUGAUUCCAGCAGAUUUUGCUUGGCAUACUUGCCUUUUUUCUUGAAGUUGGGCGUCAGUCGUCUCUGCGGCAAGCAAGGAUUCUGGAUCGGGCGCAGGUCGUCGACAUAAGAGAGCCUGGUUGGUGUGGUCUUCAUGCUUGGUGUGGAGAAGCAGGGGAGGAUGAGUAGGACGGGCAUGGGGAAGGAGCAGCCAGGCCGGAGCUCCGGUGUUGCUCACGUCAUGGUUGAAUGGAGCCGGCCAUCACUAUGGGCUGCUGCUCGCCGGUCGUUGUUCCCCAAUCUCAGUUGCUCAUCUUUGGCUUCACCAUCUUCCUCCCCUGGUCAUGCAUCUACUUUAGAUCAUAUAAUUAUGCUAUAUCAUAUAUGUUGUUUAGUUCAGACUUGUGCAUGUGCAUGCAUUGGCAUUGAUUUAGACAGAGAUAUUGCAUGAUUUGUACAUAAAAGGAGUACGGAUGAUCUAAGAAUAAAUGUUCGAAUAAAGUUAGUAGUGAGAUUUAGGUAAGAGGUUACCUGGACUGUUCUGUUUUAUGUAGAUUCUAAGCUGCAAAAUCAUACAUGGUCCUGUUAGUAGUUUGUUUGA
Non-coding RNA from Aegilops tauschii subsp. strangulata, 2948 nucleotides. The record is from RefSeq and is a predicted model, not a curated record. Lineage: Eukaryota; Viridiplantae; Streptophyta; Magnoliopsida; Poales; Poaceae.